GUUCAUUCUAAAGGUUGAUAGUCUCCAAAAUCUCCCCUAACUAAUUUACUCCUUUUUUCAAUUAAAAUAAAGCAUAAAAACUUCAUGAUAGCUGAGGAGAUCCAUGCCAUGUCAAAAAGAUAAGAACCAUAAUCACAAAUACUAUCCAUAGCUAGAAUUUUAAUAAAGGCAAGAGAAGAGAAUGUAAAUAAAUUCCUCUCUCCAUUGCCAUAUAAUCACAUUUUAUCCAAAUUUUGUUUUUUUUUCUCCUCCAUCUUCUCAAUAUCCG
RNAcentral lists this unclassified non-coding RNA (268 nucleotides) under Hevea brasiliensis (rubber tree). Lineage: Eukaryota; Viridiplantae; Streptophyta; Magnoliopsida; Malpighiales; Euphorbiaceae. The record is from RNAcentral.